This 88-nucleotide small nuclear RNA is filed under the name Cuculus canorus (common cuckoo). RNAcentral's name for it is "U2 spliceosomal RNA". It matches the Rfam family "U2 spliceosomal RNA", at positions 1 to 63 of the family's 192-position model. Rfam says of the family: U2 is a small nuclear RNA (snRNA) component of the spliceosome (involved in pre-mRNA splicing). Lineage: Eukaryota; Metazoa; Chordata; Aves; Cuculiformes; Cuculidae. The record is from Rfam by way of RNAcentral.
AUCACUUCUCAGCCUUUUGGCUAAGAUCAAGUGUAGUAUCUGUUCUUACCAGUUUUAUUUGCCUACGUGGAAGCGGGGAGGGGCUCUU